UAGUAAGUUGUGGUAAAUAUU
Molecule: non-coding RNA, 21 nt
Filed under: Caenorhabditis elegans
Lineage: Eukaryota; Metazoa; Nematoda; Chromadorea; Rhabditida; Rhabditidae
Source: RNAcentral